GCUUAACACAUGCAAGUCGAACGAUGAUGGGGAGCUUGCUCCUCGGAUUAGUGGCGAACGGGUGAGUAACACGUGAGUAACCUGCCCUUGACUCUGGGAUAAGCGCUGGAAACGGCGUCUAAUACCGGAUACGACCUGCCCCGGCAUCGGGUGCGGGUGGAAAGUUUUUCGGUCAAGGAUGGACUCGCGGCCUAUCAGCUUGUUGGUGAGGUAAUGGCUCACCAAGGCGACGACGGGUAGCCGGCCUGAGAGGGUGACCGGCCACACUGGGACUGAGACACGGCCCAGACUCCUACGGGAGGCAGCAGUGGGGAAUAUUGCACAAUGGGCGAAAGCCUGAUGCAGCAACGCCGCGUGAGGGAUGACGGCCUUCGGGUUGUAAACCUCUUUUAGUAGGGAAGAAGGACUUCGGUUUGACGGUACCUGCAGAAAAAGCACCGGCUAACUACGUGCCAGCAGCCGCGGUAAUACGUAGGGUGCAAGCGUUGUCCGGAAUUAUUGGGCGUAAAGAGCUCGUAGGCGGUUUGUCGCGUCUGCUGUGAAAACCCGAGGCUCAACCUCGGGCCUGCAGUGGGUACGGGCAGACUAGAGUGCGGUAGGGGAGAAUGGAAUUCCUGGUGUAGCGGUGGAAUGCGCAGAUAUCAGGAGGAACACCGAUGGCGAAGGCAGUUCUCUGGGCCGUAACUGACGCUGAGGAGCGAAAGCGUGGGGAGCGAACAGGAUUAGAUACCCUGGUAGUCCACGCCGUAAACGUUGGGCGCUAGAUGUGGGGACCUUUCC
Molecule: ribosomal RNA, 780 nt
Filed under: Rathayibacter caricis
Lineage: Bacteria; Bacillati; Actinomycetota; Actinomycetes; Micrococcales; Microbacteriaceae
Description: bacterial SSU rRNA
Rfam family: Bacterial small subunit ribosomal RNA
Source: RNAcentral